This 355-nucleotide unclassified non-coding RNA is filed under the name soil metagenome. RNAcentral's name for it is "partial contains 5.8S ribosomal RNA, internal transcribed spacer 2, and large subunit ribosomal RNA". The stretch from base 1 to 120 matches the Rfam family "5.8S ribosomal RNA", at positions 35 to 154 of the family's 154-position model. The record is from RNAcentral.
GAUGAAGAACGCAGCGAAAUGCGAUAAGUAGUGUGAAUUGCAGAAUUCAGUGAAUCAUCGAAUCUUUGAACGCACAUUGCGCCUUCUAGUAUUCUGGGAGGCAUGCCUGUUUGAGCGUCAUUAAACCUCUCUCAAGUAUGAUUACUUGGAUGUGAAGGAAGAGUACCUUAAACUUAAGGAGUGUUCUCCUUUGAAAUUGAUUAGAAGAUGGUAAUGUUAUUAAAUCCCUGAUGUUGUAAGAAAUAACAGUGGUUUUGUAGACUAUUAUCUAGCUUUAAAUUAUAAUUUUUAUUAUGGUUGACCUCAAAUCAGGUAAGGAUACCCGCUGAACUUAAGCAUAUCAAUAAGCGGAGGA